GUGUCAUCGACUGGCAGUUGGAGUAGGGCGGAAUUUGGAUUAUUAGGUUACCUAAAUUUGGGGGUCCCAACUAUAGAGUUUAUGAAUAUACAUCAGCAGUUCUCAUGUGUAAAUGUCAGACAAGGAAGUGUUUGUUUCUUUUUCCGGAAAAAUAUAUAUAUAUCCUAGAUUUUCUUAACCUUGAAUAUCACGCCCAAAGACAGCUAGACAAUGAAGAACAGCCUUAGGCAGAGCCAGCAGGAGCAGGGACCUUGUGCUCGGGUUCGAAAGAUAAGACCUUUAAGCAUGGGCGGCAACGUGGAACAGCGUCCCUGGACACCAACGGUGCGCAUCGGGAAGAUAGCAGCUGAGACCACCAAUCCUGGCCCGGCCAUUGUCCAGCUGCCAACAUUGAUUGGCAGCAAAGUGCCCGAUUCCAAGAAGAAGGCGGCACCCUCCUACUCCUUUGGUCACAAGUUGGGCGGCAAAUACGAGACCUUUGGUCCUGGUCCAGCCCAAUACAAUGUUACGGGCUUGAGGGCCAAGGGGAGAGACUAUCCGCGGGCUGCCACUCUCCAGAGUCGACCCAAGGAGCUGUCGCGCUUCUCCAAUCCCGGACCCGGGGAGUACGAUGUGGUGCCAGCGGCCAAGGCGGUGAUCGAUGCCACGCCCAAGUACACCUUUGGCCAGAAACCGGCCAGCCUUAAGCAGUUCCAGAUACCAGCUCCUGGCGCCUAUUGCCCCGAGAAGGUGAAGCUCAGCAAGACGCCGGAGUUUAGCUUUGGCAUCAAGCAUCACGAACAGCGUCCGGACUACACGCCAGCGCCGGGCACCUACAAGCCCGAACAGGUUGUCCUAGAACACAUGCCAGCCUACAGUUUUGGCCUGAAAACCAAGCAUACUCAGGUCAGCGACACGCCAGCACCUGGUGCUUACAGCCCCGAAAAAUCGCGAUUACACUCGACACCCGCUUACACGAUCGCAGGAAAGGCCUCGCACGAUGUUGUCGAUUGCACACCAGCUCCCGGCGCAUACGAACCCGAAAAGUGCAUUCUGGGCAGGACGCCCGCCUUCAGCUUCGGUCAUCGCGUGGAGCUCGUUAAGGCCAACGACACGCCGGCGCCGGGCACCUAUCAGCCCGAGAAGGUGCGGCUGGAUCAUACGCCAGCCUUCACCCUUGCCGGCCGUCCUGAGACCAAGACGGUGAGCGAAACCCCGGCUCCCGGUUCGUAUGCCCCGGAGAAGUACCGCUUCGACAGCACGCCGGCCUUCACCUUCGGCGGUAAGCACGAGCAGCGGCUCGAGAGCUCCACUCCGGCACCGGGUGACUACCGUCCCGAACAAGUCCGGCACGAUCACAACCCCGCUUUCUCAUUCGCCGGUCGCCACGAACUGCACAAGACAAGCGACACACCAGCUCCCGGAGCGUACGACACGGAGAAGGUGCGGCAGGACCACAAUCCCGCCUUCUCAUUUGCCGGUCGCCAUGAUCUUCAAAAGCCAGACAAUACUCCAGCCCCUGGAGCUUACAGCCCCGAAAAGGUUAGGCAAGAUCACAAUCCUGCUUUCUCGAUGGCGGGCAAACGCAUCCAAAAGAUCUCAAGUGACACGCCAGCUCCCGGUGACUACUGUCCAGAGAAAGUGCGACUAGACCAUACUCCCGCUUAUUCGUUUGGGGGAAAGAAUGAUCCAAAGGUUGAGAACAUUACCCCUGCUCCUGGAGAUUACCACCCUGAGAAAGUUAGACAAGAUCACAAUCCCGCCUUCUCCUUCGCCGGUCGCCAUGACCUUCACAAACCCAGUGACACACCUGCUCCAGGAGCAUACUCACCUGAAAAGGUUCGACAGGAUCAUAAUCCAGCCUUCUCAAUGGCUGGCAAGCACGAUCCCAAGGUUUCCAAUGACACACCUGCUCCUGGUGACUACUGCCCCGAAAAGGUUCGCUUGGAUCAUACCAUUGCUUACACCUUUGGAGGCAAGUACGAUGCCAAGAUCGAGAAUAGUAACCCUGCUCCUGGAGAUUACCACCCCGAGAAAGUAAGACAAGACCACAAUCCCGCCUUCUCCUUCGCCGGUCGCCAUGACCUUCACAAACCCAGUGACACACCUGCUCCAGGAGCUUACUCACCUGAAAAGGUUAGGCAAGAUCACAACCCAUCAUUUUCUAUGGCUGGAAAACAUAUUGAGAAGAUAGUUAAUGGUACUCCAGCUCCUGGUGACUACUGCCCCGAGAAAGUGAGGUUGGAUCAUAAUCCAGCCUACACUUUUGGAGGCAAGAACGAUCCUAAAGUUGAAAAUAAUACCCCUGCUCCUGGUGACUAUCAUCCUGAGAAAGUCAGACAAGAUCACAAUCCUGCCUUCUCCUUCGCAGGUCGUUACGACCAUUCUAAGCCUAGUGACACACCUGCUCCUGGCGCUUACUCACCUGAAAAGGUAAGGCAAGAUCAUAAUCCAGCUUUCUCAAUGGCAGGAAAACACAUACAAAAGAUCUCGAGUGAUACACCAGCCCCUGGGGACUACUGUCCAGAGAAAGUUCGACUAGACCAUACUCCCGCCUUUUCAUUUGGCGGAAAGAACGAUCCUAAGAUUGAAAAUAAUACCCCUGCUCCAGGGGAUUACCACCCAGAGAAAGUUAGACAAGACCACAAUCCCGCCUUCUCCUUCGCCGGUCGCCAUGACCUUCACAAACCCAGUGACACACCUGCUCCAGGAGCAUACUCACCUGAAAAGGUUAGGCAAGAUCACAACCCAUCAUUUUCUAUGGCAGGAAAACAUAUCGAGAAGAUAGUUAAUGGUACUCCAGCUCCUGGUGACUACUGCCCCGAGAAAGUGAGAUUGGAUCAUAAUCCGGCCUACACUUUUGGAGGCAAGUACGAUGCCAAGGUAGAAAGCAAUACCCCUGCUCCUGGUGACUAUCAUCCAGAGAAAGUUAGACAAGACCACAAUCCCGCCUUCUCCUUCGCCGGUCGCCAUGACCUUCACAAACCCAGUGACACACCUGCUCCAGGAGCAUACUCACCUGAAAAGGUUCGACAGGAUCAUAAUCCAGCCUUCUCAAUGGCUGGCAAGCACGAUCCCAAGGUUUCCAAUGACACACCAGCUCCUGGUGACUACUGCCCCGAAAAGGUUCGCUUGGAUCAUACCAUUGCUUACACCUUUGGAGGCAAGUACGAUGCCAAGAUCGAGAAUAGUAACCCAGCUCCAGGAGAUUACCACCCCGAGAAAGUUAGACAAGACCACAAUCCCGCCUUCUCCUUCGCUGGCCGGCACGACCCGCACAAGCCCAGUGAGACCCCCGCACCAGGAGCCUACUCGCCGGAGAAGGUGCAACUGGACCGAGCACCCGCUUUCAGCUUUGGUGGCAAACACGACCCCAAGGCGGAUCAUCUUCAUCCUGCGCCCUGCGACUACGCCCCCGAGAGAGUUCGUCUCGACCAUACACCCGCCUACACCAUUGCAGGUCGUCCGGCCGCGGAGACCGUUAGCCAGACUCCGGCUCCUUGCGACUACCAUCCGGAGCAGUGUCUGGUGGACCGCAGCACACCGGCGUUCACCUUCGGCAUGCGGCUGGGACGGGACCAAGUCUCCGAAACUCCAGCACCAUCCGCAUACGAGCCGGAAAAGCACACUCUGCACUCCACACCCGCCUACACCUUUGGCACCAAGUCGCAGUUACGGAUGACCACUGACGUACCAGCCCCAGGUCACUAUCAUCCCGAGCAGUGCAAGGUGGACAGCUCGCCGGCCUAUAGCUUUGGCCUUAAGACGGCACCGAUACCCUCGCUUCCAGAACCCAGGGGCACGUAUAUCGAAGAUCGCAUUGUCCAGAGACGCGAACGCCGACUGGCCAGUCCCGUACGUAACAAUGGUGAGUGCAACACCACAACAACCACAACCACCACAACGACAAAGAAAACCUUUGUCAACGGCGUGGAGCAGCCGGAGCAGCUGCAGCAGACGCAGAGCUCCACCUCCAAGCAGGUGAAUGGCACCCACAAGGAGCUCCUGCCCGCACCUGCACUCAGCAAUGGCAAUCACUCCCAGGCGGUUAGCGCCAGCACCACAACCACCACUCGGGUACAGGAGGUGUCCCACGGCCAGCAGGAGAGUGCCAGCCUCAAGGUGAUGGCCAGCGGUAAGUCGGAUGCGAGUGCCACCAAGGCGGCGGCGGUCAGUCACCAGAGAGUAGUCCAGCCGGAUGGCGCCAUCGUGACCAGCGGUCAGUCCACCAAAAUGCGGACGGUCAAGUAUGCUGUGGAGGCGAGCAGCGUGCAGGAGAAGAUCAUCAGCUCCUAAUGUCUACAAGAUACCCACCGUCAUGGGCAGCAGCAAGGAGGGCAAGAUCCGCUCGGCUCCGGCCUACACGAUCACGGGUCGCGAGAAGCCGCCUCUGAUACCGGUCAUGAUCUUCCCCGGACCGGGCUACUACGAUGGCGAAUACACCGUGGUGAAGCCCAAGCCGCCCGUCUACUCGAUGCGCGGCAAGUACAAGAUGGGCAGCGACGAUGCCAAGCCAGGACCCGGGGCCCAUUGUCCGGAGAAGAUAAACCUCUCGCACGUGCCCGCCUACAGCUUUGGGAUCAAGCACUCGCAGUACUUGGGGCGCCUGAACGAGAAGAAUGCCGAGUUCGACUACAGUUUCUCGGGAAUCUGCUGAAGAUGUAGCCGGCGAGGGAGGAGUGACCCUCCCGCUCUGCCCCAGACGAUGGAUGGUCUUCGAAAUCCUUGAAUAUGAACCGCUUCCUUACCUUAACUACACUACCUUCGCUAACCUCUAAGUUUUUACUGUUCUGAAACCUAUUUGUAAGCCGGAAAAGCGUGUUGUGGAAUGUUACAAAUUGUAUACACGAAAUAUAUAAUGAAAAUAUUACUAAUAA
This is an unclassified non-coding RNA of Drosophila serrata, 4856 nucleotides long. NCBI's taxonomy places the organism in Eukaryota, Metazoa, Arthropoda, Insecta, Diptera, Drosophilidae. The record is from RefSeq and is a predicted model, not a curated record.